RNAcentral lists this ribosomal RNA (496 nucleotides) under uncultured bacterium. RNAcentral describes it as "partial 16S ribosomal RNA". It matches the Rfam family "Bacterial small subunit ribosomal RNA", at positions 30 to 523 of the family's 1533-position model. The record is from RNAcentral.
AUUGAACGCUGGCGGAAUGCUUUACACAUGCAAGUCGAACGGUAGAGGGGGCAACCCCUCGAGAGUGGCGAACGGGUGAGUAAUAUAUCGGAACGUGCCCAGUCGUGGGGGAUAACGUAGCGAAAGUUACGCUAAUACCGCAUACGAUCUAAGGAUGAAAGCGGGGGAUCGCAAGACCUCGCGCGAUUGGAGCGGCCGAUAUCAGAUUAGGUAGUUGGUGGGGUAAAGGCUCACCAAGCCAACGAUCUGUAGCUGGUUUGAGAGGACUACCAGCCACACUGGAACUGAGACACGGUCCAGACUCCUACGGGAGGCAGCAGUGGGGAAUUUUGGACAAUGGACGCAAGUCUGAUCCAGCCAUUCCGCGUGCAGGAUGAAGGCCCUCGGGUUGUAAACUGCUUUUGUACGGAACGAAAAGGUCUCUCUUAAUACGGGGGACUCAUGACGGUACCGUAAGAAUAAGCACCGGCUAACUACGUGCCAGCCGCCGCCGUAA